AGAAUCAACGCUGGCGGCGUGCCUAACACAUGCAAGUCGCACGGGAAAGGGUAGCAAUACCUGAGUACAGUGGCGCACGGGUGAGUAACACGUGAAUAAUCUACCUCCGAGUGGGGAAUAACUGAGAGAAAUCUUAGCUAAUACCGCAUAACACUUACGAGUCAAAGCAGCAAUGCGCUUGGAGAGGAGUUCGCGGCAGAUUAGUUAGUUGGCGGGGUAAUGGCCCACCAAGACGAUGAUCUGUA
RNAcentral lists this ribosomal RNA (245 nucleotides) under uncultured bacterium. RNAcentral's name for it is "partial small subunit ribosomal RNA". It matches the Rfam family "Bacterial small subunit ribosomal RNA", at positions 26 to 285 of the family's 1533-position model. The record is from RNAcentral.